AGGCCGAACGCUUGCGGCGUGCCUAAGAAAUGCAAGUCGAACGGACAGUAGGAGUAAUCUUACUGUUAGUGGCGAACGGUCGCGUAACACGUAGGCAACCUGCCCAAAAGUGGGGGACAACAACCUGAAAGGGUUGCUAAUACCGCAUGUGGCCCUGGAGUGGCAUCACUCCUGGUCUAAAGCUUUAUGCGCUUUUGGAUGGGCUUGCGGCCUAUCAGGUAGUUGGUGGGGUAAUGGCCUACCAAGCCGACGACGGGUAGCUGGUCUGAGAGGACGAUCAGCCGGAUUGGGACUGAGAUACGGCCCAGACUCCUACGGGGGGCAGCAAUUAGGAAUCUUGCGCAAUGGGGGCAACCCUGACGCAGCGACGCCGCGUGCGGGAUGAAGGCAUUCGUGUCGUAAACCGCUUUUACGGGAAGAAGAAUUUGACGGUACCGUCGAAUAAGCCCGGCUAACUACGCGCCAGCAGCCGC
RNAcentral lists this ribosomal RNA (473 nucleotides) under uncultured bacterium. RNAcentral's name for it is "SSU rRNA". It matches the Rfam family "Bacterial small subunit ribosomal RNA", at positions 26 to 518 of the family's 1533-position model. The record is from RNAcentral.